RNAcentral lists this transfer RNA (92 nucleotides) under Ehrlichia sennetsu str. Miyayama. RNAcentral describes it as "tRNA-Ser (GGA) (tRNA-Ser-GGA-1-1)". It matches the Rfam family "tRNA". Rfam says of the family: Transfer RNA (tRNA) molecules are approximately 80 nucleotides in length. The record is from RNAcentral. Lineage: Bacteria; Pseudomonadati; Pseudomonadota; Alphaproteobacteria; Rickettsiales; Anaplasmataceae.
GGAAGGAUGGCCGAGUGGUUGAAGGCGCACGCUUGGAAAGCGUGUUCAGGUGCAUAAACCACCUGACAAGGGUUCGAAUCCCUUUUCUUCCG